CACAUGCCCGUGAUGAGAUAACUGACAGCAGCUGUUGGAGUGGGACGGGUAGUACUAGAGGCUGUUUCCAGCAGCCCAGCUGGGCUGGAGUUGUUGCUGGAGCUCUGGGCAGUCAGAGUGGGCUGGCAGCUGGUUGGGUCAGGAGCUGUGCUAGUGCAUGCAGGUACACUUGAAAACAAUCAAAGAAAAUGAUGAGGAUUUGCUUCUGAUGUAAUGACGUAUCCCCCUGACAUCACAGUGAAGAAUGAAUGUUUCUCCCUACAAAAAUCACAAUAACACCUGAAAGCCAUGAUGGUGGAGACCAGGCCUGCUGAGGCAGAGGCAUUGGUUGCUCCUGGAGUCUAGAAGGUGUUGGGCAAAUUGUCCCUGAAUGAAGGUUUCACCUGCAUGGGCAGAGGCUCACUGAGCAAUGCAAGUGCAGGCUCCAUUCCUCUGGGUGGAAUGGGGCUUCUAGGAACAGACCGCACUGCAAGAGUGCCAGGGGAGCAAAAGAGCAAACCCUGCAAGCAGAACUGGUACCAAUGCAGUAAUUGCAGGUGGCAUAGGUCUUUCUGAAAGUCAUCAAAGGCUUUUCAGUAACAUGUCACGGGCAGUGGGGUGGUGGUGUGUGCAUGUGAAGAGCUUAGGGAUGAUUUCAUCAGCAAAACUGGAAAAUUUAAGGCCCAACAACGUCUCAGACAUUGCAACCCCCAAGUUUGCGUUCCAUCGUCAUAUUAAUCUUCCCCUCUACGUUAUCCAGAAAGUACCUGUGUCCUUGCACACAACUGGCAGCUGUAAAAUAAACACAACAUCAAUUAUGGAUGAGCGUGCCCCAUGAUAUGUUCCCUGCAGCUGAUGCCUACAGGCUGGCUGAGUGCUUCAGCUCACAUCCACUCUCAUUCUCAAUGGUCUUCAGAAACAGACUUACACAGAUGCCCCUUCUGGUACUUUCUGGGAGGUGGCAGAGCUGGAGUUGACAAGACAAAGGGAUGGAGCAGAGGAAGGUGCUUGGCUGCCUUCCUGCAUGAAGAUGGGGGAGGUUUUGUCUGUGCAUGCCACAUGCACCUCAGCUAGAGCUCUGCAUCAGGGAUGGGCACUGCUGGGGGGCGCACAUGGCAGCAUCUCCCAUGAGCCAUGUCUCUACGUGAACAGCCCGGGGUCCUCACCAAGAUUAAGGUCCUGAUUUAGCUGUUUUUUUCUAAUUAACCAGACAAAUGGCUGCUAACUUUGAAAGCGAUUUGCUUGAGUAAGGAAGGCAGUAGUAUGUAAUUCAGGAUUUAUUCAUAUUUUAUGAAGUGUUUAAGAAUUCUUCAGAAGGAAUUGUUAUGCACAUAUAAUAUCAGUUAUAUAUAAGACUGCUUGAUUCAACAAUGAACAAAUAAAAAGGGCAAUUUUAUCUUUUAUUGUCCCCUUUCCCCAUUUUCACUUUGUCUGGAAUAAAAUUAAUAAUAAUACUAUUUCUAGCAUGUCUGAAUGUCUAUUGAAAUAAUAAAUCAAG
Cygnus olor (mute swan) is the source of this 1477-nucleotide long non-coding RNA. RefSeq lists it as uncharacterized. The transcript is spliced from 3 exons. NCBI's taxonomy places the organism in Eukaryota, Metazoa, Chordata, Aves, Anseriformes, Anatidae. The record is from RefSeq and is a predicted model, not a curated record.